UCUGCAUGGGCGAAAGCUGACGGUUCACGCCGCGUGGAUGAAGAAUCUUUCGGGACGUAAAAUCCUUUCAGCAGGGACGAAGCGAGUGACGGUACCUGCAGAAGAAGCAUCGGCUAACUACGUGCCAGCAGCCGCGGUAAUACGUAGGAUGCAAGCGUUGUCCGGAAUUAUUGGGCGUAAAGCGAACGUAGGCGGCUAGAUAAGUUUGGUCUUAAAGACCGGGGCUCAACCUCGGGAAUGGAUCGAAAACUGUUUAGCUAGAGGAUGUUAGAGGAAAGUGGAAUUCCAAGUGUAGCGGUGAAAUGCGUAGAUAUUUGGAGGAACACCGGUGGCGAAAGCGACUUUCUGGGGCAUUCCUGACGCUGAGGUUCGAAAGCUCGGGGAGCAAACAGGAUUAGAUACCCUGGUAGUCCGAGCCGUAAACGAUGGAUACUAGGUGUAGAGGGUAUCGACCCCCUCUGUGCCGCAGCUAACGCGUUAAGUAUCCCGCCUGAGGAGUACGGUCGCAAGACUGAAACUCAAAGGAAUUGACGGGGGACCGGACAAGCGGUGGAGCAUGUGGUUUAAUUCGAUGCAACGCGAAGAAACUUACCAAUGCUUGACAUGGAG
RNAcentral lists this ribosomal RNA (609 nucleotides) under uncultured bacterium. RNAcentral describes it as "bacterial SSU rRNA". It matches the Rfam family "Bacterial small subunit ribosomal RNA", at positions 365 to 991 of the family's 1533-position model. The record is from RNAcentral.